This 430-nucleotide ribosomal RNA is filed under the name uncultured bacterium. RNAcentral describes it as "bacterial SSU rRNA". It matches the Rfam family "Bacterial small subunit ribosomal RNA", at positions 355 to 774 of the family's 1533-position model. The record is from RNAcentral.
UGGGGAAUAUUGGGCAAUGGGCGAAAGCCUGACCCAGCCACGCCGCGUGAGUGAUGAAGGCCUUCGGGUCGUAAAGCUCUGUGGGGAGGGACGAAUAAGUCGGUAGUUAAUAACUGCCGGCCCUGACGGUACCUCCUUAGCAAGCACCGGCUAACCAUGUGCCAGCAGCCGCGGUAAUACAGAGGGUGCGAGCGUUGUCCGGAAUCACUGGGCGUAAAGGGCGCGUAGGCGGCUUGAUAAGGUUGCGGUGAAAGCCCGGGGCUCAACCCCGGGUCGGCCGUGGCAACUGUCGAGCUGGAGCACUGUAGAGGCAGGUGGAAUUCCGGGUGUAGCGGUGGAAUGCGUAGAGAUUCCGGGAAGAACACCGGUGGCGAAGGCGGCCUGCUGGGCAGUGGCUGACGCUGAGGCGCGACAGCGUGGGGAGCAAACA